This 497-nucleotide ribosomal RNA is filed under the name uncultured bacterium. Its description in RNAcentral is "partial 16S ribosomal RNA". It matches the Rfam family "Bacterial small subunit ribosomal RNA", at positions 28 to 507 of the family's 1533-position model. The record is from RNAcentral.
GAUGAACGCUGGCGGCGUGCCUAAUACAUGCAAGUCGAGCGAACAGACGAGGAGCUUGCUCCUCUGACGUUAGCGGCGGACGGGUGAGUAACACGUGGAUAACCUACCUAUAAGACUGGGAUAACUUCGGGAAACCGGAGCUAAUACCGGAUAACAUGUUGAACCGCAUGGUUCAACAGUGAAAGACGGUCUUGCUGUCACUUAUAGAUGGAUCCGCGCCGCAUUAGCUAGUUGGUAAGGUAACGGCUUACCAAGGCAACGAUGCGUAGCCGACCUGAGAGGGUGAUCGGCCACACUGGAACUGAGACACGGUCCAGACUCCUACGGGAGGCAGCAGUAGGGAAUCUUCCGCAAUGGGCGAAAGCCUGACGGAGCAACGCCGCGUGAGUGAAGAAGGUCUUCGGAUCGUAAAACUCUGUUAUUAGGGAAGAACAAAUGUGUAUGUAACUAUGCACAUCUUGACGGUACCUAAUCAGAAAGCCACGGCUAACUACGUG